GUGCAUAUCAGAGAACUUCCAGUUCGCAGUUGAAAAUGGAUUGUUUCAUGAGUUAUCACAUAAAGACUUUAAAUUUUUGUUGAAUAAUGAAAAAUUAACUGUUUUUAAACAUGGAAUACCAAUUGAAAAUUAUGAAGCAUGUAUAUUUGCUUCAUUAGGUAAAUAUUUAUCUGCUAAUAACGUGGAAAAUGACGAAUUAGUAGAGGACUUAUUAAGCGUCAUCCGUCUUUCUGACAUACCUUCAGAUAUGUUAGAAAGUAUAACAAAUAAAUAUACAGUCUUUCAUGCUUUUAAGGCACGCAUAUGCACAACACAACGAACGAAUACACCACUUAGUAGAAAGUAUUCCAAAUCCGAAAGAACUAUAGUUCCCUAUCAAGAGUAUGCUUCCAUUCCAAAAAUGUAUUUGGAAAAAUAUGGAUUUGGAAUUGUCAAUUGUUUUAAUGAUUCGGACUUGAUUAAGAUAGAUGACCGACCUAUUACAAUUGGAGUAUGGAUCGUAAAAUGGGAUGGUAUUGAUCUUUUAGGUGGAUUACAUAUUCAUUACAAAAGUGGUAUACGUCUAGUUCAUGGCACAAAACCUGCGAGACAUGAUCUUGUAAACGAACACGAGUUCACUCUUUACGAGGAAGAAGUUGUGACGAAGAUACUUACAUGGCAUGGUAUGUUUAUUGACAGUAUAACUUUCUAUACAAAUAUGCUCCGUAAAUUUGGCCCGUAUGGUGGACGUGGAGGGCACAGAAGCGAUUGGGAUAAACCACCUAGCAACCAUGGCUAUUUUCAUUCGUUCAAGGGCAAGGUAGUUAAACAUAGAUAUGCUAAUUCUGUAGCAUAUUUACAGUUUAACUGGGUUUCUUAUGGGAAAGAUGGUUAUAAGGAAAUUUUGCCCACCGAUGAUAUGUUUAGUUGUGAAAGAACACAUGGGUUUAACGAAAUUGAUAGAAUAAAUGAUAUAGAUUAAAAAAACAAACAAUAAUUAUUUACUCCUUUAUCUAGCGUGAUAACCAUUUUGAUUACCUUACGUCGAAAAUCAUGGUUUUGUUUAUAAUUUCUUGCUUCCCUAGUUGUUAAAUUCUUAUACGUGUGUUAAUAUUCAACAUAAAAGUAAGACACUGCACGAGACUUCCGAAUUCGAAGCGCACUAUAAUCAAAUGGGAGGAGCAAAUACGUAUGUUGUAUAGUGAUUAAUGGGUGGAUGGAUGUUUUAAAGGUCCGAUUUUAACUACAACUUGCAUUUUAAGGAAUUAAACAUACAGUUGUCAUGUGUAUAUAAAUUCUGCUUUGCACUAGAUCAUUCCUUAAUUGAACAACAAAAAGACCAGUCAGUCUAUGCUCUAACUGUGAAAGGAAGGAAACAAUAAAUGUAUGUCUCCGACCCGACCCCGAAUACGAAUAAGAAUAUGACUGGAAGAAAUAUAUGUACGUGCUCGAUCUCAAAAUAAGAACAUAACGACAUAUUUCAUUUUGUUUGAAAUUUGUUUUUUCCCGUUUGUUAUUUGUAUGACUUUUAUAUAAAUAAGAACUAGUUCAACUAGUUUUGAACCAGUCCUUUGUAUGAUGCAUAUGCCACGAGAAACAUUUUGGCGGUUUGAACAGAUGCCGCGGGUAAUAAAACUAUAUACAGUUUGGGAUUUAAAUGUAUCAGUAUUGACGGUGCUCGCAAUUACGACGAUUCGAAGUUUGUCUGAUUUGUAUACUUUUGCUGAAACGUUUAUGGUGUCCAAUACAGUCUCUGACCAUGAUGAUUUGAGACAAUUCAAUAACACGGUAAAAAAAACCAUUACUGAAUUUAUAACUCAUGGUGCAGUGUCGUUGUAUUAUAACUGUUUUAACAAAUACUCCAAAACAGCAAAUAGUCAACUUGAUCAACCUUUUCGAGGGCCGUUUGUGUUUAAAAUAAAGGAAAAUCGUAUUAUAUGACUAUUCAAUACAGAAAGAUCUGAGACAAUGUUAGGAAUAGCGAAGUACUUCUAACUCAUACGUACAUGCGAUGGAGGUAUUAGACAUUAAGAAGGAAACGUUGCGGAAAAAUACAUAAAUUCGCGUAAUAAACAUUAAUGGAACAGUCAACGAAUACCUUGAUAGUCAUUUGCCUGAUGAUAAAGAAGGAACAGCUAAUUUGUGGUCUGCUGUUGCUAGUGGAUCAAGAAAAGGAAUAUCCCAAAACAAUAUGGCCGUCUUAGCAAAAAAAAAUUAAGAACGUGGUAAUAAAUGCAAUACGAAGAAUUUUUCCGUCGGAUGGUCAAAACAGUGGAUUUUUUGGCAAUCACAAAACAGCUCCGGGAAAUGCGUUUACUAUUAUCAACCAAGACAUUUCGCCAAUGGUUCUGUUCAUUCAAGCAACAGUCAGCAAUGCCCUUAAGGAACAGAAAAAUGACAGUAAAGAACAGACUGUUCAAUACAAUACAACAAAUGAGGUUAAGUAUCACUUUGAGUUUAUUAACAAUUGUGAAAUUAAGUCUGAUGAUCAACUUAUUUAAGUUAAACGGAAUUUGAAAAAAAAAAUGUUUUUACAGACAGAUGGUUUCAUCUUACAUACUGUAAAAUUUAAUGUUUUUUUACAACUGACACGUGUUCUAUACAUUUAUCAAAGAACAGUGUGAUAGGUCAACUUUUACUCAUGUAUCUUCUGUUUAAAAAUCAAUAGACAAAGAGCUUUGAGUAAUAAAGUUCUUGUUUAAUUAAGUGACGGGUAGGGAGCUGUAGAUAAUUCUGAUUUGUGAUAAUAUGGCUUUACAAGUUAAAACUGAUAUAGAACAAAAUCUGGAUUUGUUGUAAAUAUAUAUGGACACUAGUUCAAAAUAUGGAACGGCUACAUGUUAAUACAAACUUAGAAGAAUGUCAUUUACAAAUACAUAAUGCUUGUAGAAAAGUUAUAUCUGCAUUAGGCCUCGUUUGUCAAAUUAUGACCAGGUAUUUAUACAUGACUAUCUCUUGAGGAGUUUAUUGGGAUUCGAUCUAUAUUUAAGAGUUUAGAUUUUUAUUGUGACAAAAUCGUGUGCUUUAGUUUUAGACAUUUUACAUAUUUUCAUAGAAGGCCUGAGAGCAUUUUUUUUCUCGAUGCCAACGAAUAUGCAGUUGCAGGUUAUAUUUCAUAUGUUUCGGCUUAAAUUAUGUAGCUCAUUUCGUUUGAGAAUGUCAGACAGAAAGAAGAGUUUAACUUGGAAAUAGUUAACAACAGUAAACAGCAUCUAUAAAUUAAUUUACGACAUUAUCAUUUGAGCUGGGGAAAAUAUUGAUUGAUCGGUUUUAAAGCACUUAUGUUCUUUUUCGUGUCGGUCAGUUUUUAUUUGUGGAGGAAACCGGUGUACCCGUAGAGUACCAUCAAUCUACAGAAGAAAACUGACACCCCAGUAAAUUAAGAUUUGAGUCGAGCGUACCAGACACGUGCAGGAUUCGAACUCACAACCUCAGUGUUGACAUGCUAGUGAUACAUAAGUUUGACUUAUUGGACCACUAGGCCACCUAGUCUCUUUGGACAUUUAACAAAAUUACACAGACAAAAAGAACGUUACAAUUAUUUUUUUAUAGGUAGUUUAAAAUCAGAGCUUCGUGAAUAGCUUAAGAUGUCUAAAUAUAUGUUUAACAAAUAAUAUUGGUUUUUCUCAAAACAUUUUACGUUUUCUACAUCUAGUGUUGACGGAUUUGCAUAUGAUCGGUCAGUAUUUAAUAACAGGAUAGUUUCUCUACAUAUUUAUUUGAGUAAUAGAAUUAUCAAUCGUAAGCGAUGUGUAAAGCAAAAAAGUGAUACAUCAAUGGAAACAGCGCUAGCAAUGUACUGGCCUAUGAUUGUGAAUAAUUCUACACAUGAUUUUAACAUCUUUAUAAAAGAUUUCCGAGGGUAGAGAAAUCUAAAGUCAUGUUUAUGAUUUAACUAUGAUUCGGAUCAAAACAGUAUUUAAUUUCUAACCCGCAUUUAACAGUAACAUUUUAGUGUUGCUUGUUUAUUUUCCUAUACUGAGUAAUUUAAAUGAUUACUAAUUUAGGUAUACCUAUAUGUGUAUGUCACACAAUAUUAAAUAUUUACUAGGAAAUAAAGCAGUUUCGUUACAUAAUAAACAGUAAUAUGAUGAGAAUAUCAAAUAUGUACAUGGACAUGUUGGACUUCCAUGUACUAGAAGUUGAUGUUUAUAAUUUUGUUAUAGAUAUUUUAGAUUUGACUAAUUGAGGAUCUGUAUGAAGUUAUUUUUUUUCAUUUUUUUUUCUAUUUGCAGAUCCAAUGGAAAUGGAUUGAGGAUUAGCCAAUGGUCAAGAUUUGCCAACAUGGUUAUUGCAUUAUCCUUAAUCGGCUAACUACUCUUGCAAAAACAAAUUUUAUUUUAGAAAAUUUAGAAAAUUUUGAAUUUUGCGUGUAGAAUUGAAUUUUCUCCAGCAAUUUCUGCACUAGUACGUUUUUAUAUAUUGGUGUUUUGAUACAACAA
This 4421-nucleotide long non-coding RNA is filed under the name Mytilus galloprovincialis (Mediterranean mussel). Lineage: Eukaryota; Metazoa; Mollusca; Bivalvia; Mytilida; Mytilidae. The record is from RNAcentral.